This 1952-nucleotide ribosomal RNA is filed under the name gut metagenome. RNAcentral describes it as "bacterial LSU rRNA". It matches the Rfam family "Bacterial large subunit ribosomal RNA", at positions 43 to 2007 of the family's 2925-position model. The record is from RNAcentral.
GAGGCGAAGAAGGACGUGAUAAGCUGCGAAAAGCUCCGUUUAGGUGCAAAUAACCUUUGAUGCGGAGAUCUCCGAAUGGGAUAACCCAAUAUGUUGAAGACAUAUUAUACCGUAAGGUAGGCAAACGCAGGGAACUGAAACAUCUAAGUACCUGCAGGAGAAGAAAACAAACGUGAUUCCCCCAGUAGCGGCGAGCGACCGGGGAUAAGCCCAAACCGUUAUUGUUUCGGCAGUAGCGGGGUAGUAGGACUGCGACAUUGAUGAAAUAAAUGAAAUGGAACACUUUGGAAAAUGUGAUCACAGAGGGUGAUAAUCCCGUACAUGCAAGUUUAUGAAUCAUAGCAGACUCCUGAGUAAGUCGGGACACGUGUAAUCCUGACCGAAUCCGCCGGGACCAUCCGGCAAGGCUAAAUACUCCUGAGAGACCGAUAGUGAACCAGUACCGUGAGGGAAAGGUGAAAAGCACUUCGAACAGAAGAGUGAAAUAGUCCCUGAACCCAUACGCCUACAAGCAGUCGGAGCCGCUUCGUGCGGUGACGGCGUGCCUUUUGCAUAAUGAGCCUACGAGUUACUCAUCACCAGCGAGGUUAAGUACUUCAGGUACGUAAGCCGAAGCGAAAGCGAGUCUGAAUAGGGCGUCAAGUUGGUGGUGGUAGACGCGAAACCUUAGUGAUCUACCCAUGGGCAGGGUGAAGGUUUGGUAACACAAACUGGAGGCCCGAACCGGUAAACGUUGAAAAGUUUUCGGAUGACCUGUGGGUAGGGGUGAAAGGCCAAUCAAACUGGGAAAUAGCUCGUACUCUCCGAAAUGCAUUUAGGUGCAGCCUCUGUUGUUUUGUUCUAGAGGUAGAGCUACUGAUUGGAUGCGAGGGCUUCACCGCCUAUCAAAUCCGGCCAAACUCCGAAUGCUAGAACAUGAAGACAGGGAGUGAGCCAGCGGGUGCUAAGGUCCGUUGACGAAAGAGGGAGAACUCAGACCAUCAGCUAAGGUCCCCAAUUAUAUGCUAAGUUGGAAUUAAAACGGGGUGGGACUGCUUAGACAGCUAGGAUGUUGGCUUGGAAGCAGCCAUUCAUUUAAAGAGUGCGUAACAGCUCACUAGUCGAGCGGUCCUGCAUGGAUAAUACGCGGGCAUAAGCAUAUAACCGAAGCUAUGGGAUUGUAGAUGAUACAAUCGGUAGGAGAGCAUUCCAUUCAGCAUAGAAGCAGUACCGUGAGGUAUUGUGGAGCGGAUGGAAAAGCAAAUGUAGGCAUAAGUAACGAUAAUGCGGGUGAGAACCCCGCACGCCGAAAGAUCAAGGAUUCCCCGGCAAUGUCAAUCAUCCGGGGGUAAGUCGGAUCCUAAGGGUAAGCCGAGUGGCGAUCCCGAUGGCAAACAGGUUAAUAUUCCUGUACUGAUCAUAACUGCGAUGCAGCGACGCAGAGGUGACACUGCUGCGUACUGACGGAAUAGUACGUUGAAACCCGUAUUCUUUGAUACCGGUAGUGAAGCACGCCGGUAGAGAUGAAAGGUGAUAGUACCGCAAUGCUUCGGUUGCGCGGAUAACGCAGGUAAGCUGACUGCCAAGAAAACCUGCUAAGCUUCAGGUAAUGAUCAUCCGUACUGUAAACGGACACACGUGAUCAGGUAGAAAAUACUAAGGCGCUCGAGAGAUUCAUGGUUAAGGAACUAGGCAAAAUGGUCCUGUAACUUCGGGAUAAAGGACGCUCUUGUGAAAGAGCCGCAGAUAAUAGGCCCAGGCGACUGUUUACCAAAAACACAUGGCUAUGCUAAUUCGCAAGAAGAUGUAUAUGGCCUGACACCUGCCCGGUGCCGGAAGGUUAAGAGGAGAGCUCAGAGGCAACUCGAAGGUUUGAAUUGAAGCCCCGGUAAACGGCGGCCGUAACUAUAACGGUCCUAAGGUAGCGAAAUUCCUUGUCGGGUAAGUUCCGACCUGCACGAAUGGUGUAACGA